GAUGAAGAACGUAGCGAAAUGCGAUACUUGGUGUGAAUUGCAGAAUCCCGUGAACCAUCGAGUCUUUGAACGCAAGUUGCGCCCGAAGCCAUUAGGCCGAGGGCACGCCUGCCUGGGCGUCACACGUCGUUGCCCCCCCCCAUCUACUCCUUCGGGAUUGCGGGGGGCGGAUGAUGGCCUCCCGUGCGCCUCGCCGCGCGGUUGGCAUAAAUGCCAAGUCCUCGGCGACGCACGCCACGACAAUCGGUGGUUGCGAAACCUCGGUUGCCCGUCGUGUGCGGUCGUCGCGCAUCGAGGGCUCGAAAAAAUUGCCGGGCUCCGGCUCGGCUUUCAACGCGACCCCAGGUCAGGCGGGGUUACCCGCUGAAUUUAAGCAUAUCAAUAAGCGGAGGA
RNAcentral lists this unclassified non-coding RNA (393 nucleotides) under soil metagenome. Its description in RNAcentral is "partial contains 5.8S ribosomal RNA, internal transcribed spacer 2, and large subunit ribosomal RNA". The stretch from base 1 to 122 matches the Rfam family "5.8S ribosomal RNA", at positions 35 to 154 of the family's 154-position model. The record is from RNAcentral.